RNAcentral lists this ribosomal RNA (435 nucleotides) under uncultured bacterium. RNAcentral's name for it is "partial 16S ribosomal RNA". It matches the Rfam family "Bacterial small subunit ribosomal RNA", at positions 28 to 507 of the family's 1533-position model. The record is from RNAcentral.
GAUGAACGCUGGCGGUAUGCUUAACACAUGCAAGUCGAACGGACUCUUCGGAGUUAGUGGCGGACGGGUGAGUAACGCGUGAGAAUCUGGCUUUGGGUUCGGGACAACCACUGGAAACGGUGGCUAAUACCGGAUGUGCCGAGAGGUAAAAGAGAAAUUGCCUGAAGAUGAGCUCGCGUCUGAUUAGCUAGUUGGUGAGGUAAAGGCUCACCAAGGCAGCGAUCAGUAGCUGGUCUGAGAGGAUGACCAGCCACACUGGGACUGAGACACAGCCCAGACUCCUACGGGAGGAAGCAGUGGGGAAUUUUCCGCAAUGGGCGAGAGCCUGACGGAGCAAUACCGCGUGAGGGAAGAAGGCUCUUGGGAUGUAAACCUCUUUUCUUAGGGAAGAACAAAAUGACGGUACCUAAGGAAUCAGCAUCGGCUAACUCCGUG